UACAGAGGGUGCAAGCGUUGCUCGGAAUCAUUGGGCGUAAAGGGCAUGUAGGUGGUCUCAUUUGUCUGGGGUGAAAGCCUUCGGCUUAACCGAAGAAGUGCCUCAGAAACGGUGAGACUAGAGUCUUGGAGAGGUUAGCGGAAUUCCCGGUGUAGCGGUGAAAUGCGUAGAGAUCGGGAGGAACACCAGCGGCGAAGGCGGCUAACUGGACAAGUACUGAUACUCAACUGCGAAAGCGUGGGGAGCAAACAGG
Molecule: ribosomal RNA, 253 nt
Filed under: uncultured bacterium
Lineage: Bacteria
Description: partial 16S ribosomal RNA
Rfam family: Bacterial small subunit ribosomal RNA
Source: RNAcentral